Aegilops tauschii subsp. strangulata is the source of this 3875-nucleotide non-coding RNA. The record is from RefSeq and is a predicted model, not a curated record. Lineage: Eukaryota; Viridiplantae; Streptophyta; Magnoliopsida; Poales; Poaceae.
CACCCAUCUCCAUGCCUCCUCCUUUCCCAUUUCACACCUCCCCUCAUCUCUCCCUCGUCAACACAGCCGCGACUCCGUCCUCCCUUCCUCUUCACCAUGGAAAACCACCUCCCAGGCGUCGCCAGCAGGAGAGGAGCCGGCUCCGCUCUCCUACGCACCCUCACAAACAUCAUUGCCUUGGGUGAGGAGUUCGUGGGAGGAGAAGUCGAGAAGGCCGGGGUGGGAGGAGGAGGAGGAGGUGGAGUUAGUUCAGCAGAUCAGCAGCGGCGGUGCCGGGAGAGGAAGGGCCAUGGCGGCGGAGGCUUUCGGACUACGCGUUGAGCAGUGUCUCUCCAUGCCGCCGGGACGGCAAGCCCAUGGAGAAGCGCGGUCACCCCGGUACAUGGCCGUCUUCCAUCUCCAUCUGCUGCUCCCCACUCCUGCCGUCCCAUGGCCUGCGUCGCCGCUGCUUGGCUGUUCCCACCUGCUGAUACUACUCGGAUCCCUUGGCUAUUCAGUUCCUGUCUCCACAUCUUUGCAAAGUUUCCUGAAUGGACUCAAGAGUUAGGACUGUUGAGUUAGUAAUCAAUCUCAUGCAGGCAUCUUUCCAUCGAGAGAUCCGUGAAUAAAAGCGGCCUUUCUGGGAUUGUCAAGGUAUUCACUAAUAGAGAGUUGCAUCCAAAAAUAAAGUAGCUAAAGCUUUUUCAAAAAUCAGGGGCCUCCCCCCGGCUCCAUUUUUUAAUGAAGAAAGAGAAGCCAUACGAGUACCACAACAACGAAAGCUAAAACAGACUCUGAACCUAAACUGGGGGUAAAACAGUUCGCUGCACGCCUUAUUACAGACCAAAAAACCAGAAUCUCAGUGGCUAAAGCUUUGGUUCGCUAAAAAAAUUACAUGGUUGAUUAACAGCAGCUUACCUUAACAGGCGGUGUUCAAACCUGGUGGUAAAGACCUACAAAAAGUUUGAGGUGGAAAUUUACGUCCUUGCCAAGGAUGAAGGUGGUCGCCACACUGCCUUCUUCUCAAAUUACAACCCAUAGUUCUACUUCAGGACAGCUGACAUAUGUGGGAAAAUUGAGUUUCCUCCGGACGUGAAGAUUGUUAUGCCUGGUGACAACAUAACUGCAAUCUUUGAGUUGAUGUUGCCUAUUCCACUCGAACCAGGGCUAAGAUUUGCGCUGAGGGAAGGAGGGAGGACCGUCGGCUCCGGAGUCAUUGCCGAAGUCAUGAGCUAAUAACAAAUGUUCCAGACCUUUCUCUUUUUACUUCUCAGUUAGUUCUAUGAUUUUUUUCUAAGGAUUACAAUGCUGCGAAUCAAAUGUCCAUCGUAGGAAAAACAAAUUAAGGUUAUAAAUCCUACAAUUUUUUAAAAUAAAAUUUCUACGAAUCAAAGGAGCCGGUAGAGUAGAAGCAUGCAACACACUAGCUACUUUUGCGUUUGAAGUAUGAGUACGGACAGAAGCAUCCCUUCGACUUAUUAGUGCAUCUCCAACGCCUUGCCGUAAAACGUACAGGCCGACGCGUUCGGACGCACUUUGCCAUCCAACGCGGACCGUAUUUCGUCCGUUUUCCCCAAACUGGAAGCAAACCUGGGGAGACUGUGUGGGAGUCUAGAUCUCAUUGAAUCAAUAUUUAAGUAGCAGUAAGUAAUGACUACAAACACUCCAUGCAUCUACAGAUCGCUUGCGUCUCUCGCUCUGAAUCUAAUCUUCAGAUUUCUGUUGUCCACCACAAAAUAACUUGAUUAAAGAUACUAUGGGAUCUUGGAGACCUCAGAUGUAGGUGAGGAUGAGGUGCCAGAUAUGAAAUUAUGAAGGAUGAGACAUGUCUGAUGAAGAAGGCUUGGCUAGGUAUAUUAGAACAAUCCAUGUUUUAUUCUUGGCACUAUACAAGUGCAUCUCCUCUUUUACUGUAAUAGCAUGAUGCGCUAAUUUUCUUACAAGUCUGAUAAAUAUGUAUAAUUAUAUGAUUAUUGAAGCCCACAUAUAUUUUUAAGCAAUGCAGUAUGUGGUAUUGCUUUUCAUUUCUUUUAGACAAUAGUAAAAAGAAAAUCUGGUCCAAAAGUAUGUGGUAUACAGUUUAAAAAAAUGGUCUGGUGGUCAGGAGUCAUGUAUGAUAUAGUUAUCAUUUGGAUGCUUAAAGCUGGUCAUUUUGUAGGAAUAUGCCUGGGUUUUUGUCAAAUGCAAGCCGCACUUCAUAUUUUUUCAAAUGGAUUUUCUUAUCAAAUAAUUGUCUCUUACGUGGAUAUACUUUGUGUUAAACCCAAGAAAUAAAAGGUGAAUUAUCCAUGAUUAUGAUCUGGUAUUACUUUGAACAUUUUGUGUUUCAUGGUAUCCUAAAAUACGGUCUGCUUUUUAGAGUUUAUUCCCAUUUACUUGUGUUCUUCCAAAAUAAUAGUAUAUUAGUUGUUUAUUAGACUUCCUUCUGGUUGUUGAAAUUUAAAUGUUUGCCGUGGAAUAGGAAAUUUGAGUACAGUAGCCGUUAGCCUGAAAAUAAUAUAGUGAGCCAUAGAGAAGAUUGUUGCUCUAAUUGACUGGUAUUUAUCGCGCUGAUCUCUUUCUCUCGCACCUACAAUUGUAAAAAUGCCCCUGCUGAAUAUCUUGAAUGGUCCUAGAACCUUCUCACUUACAGGUCUAGUGAUCCUUGCGAACUUCUUUCCAACAUUGAAGCACAAAUUGCAAAAGCAAACGAUGAAUCCAUAACAAAGAAAGAUAUCAUGAAGAGAGUAGAAAAAUGGCUAUUGGCCUGUGAUGAAGAGACUUGGCUUGAGGAAUAUAAUCAAUCCUGUUUUUUUCAAUGAAGAUAUGCUAGCACAUGGUCCAUCAGUUUAAUAUGAUUUCCCCCUUUUUCUUCUCUAUGUUGGCAUGCUUAUACUGAUAUUCAAUUUGGCUGCCAAGCUAUGAUUUAGGUAAUGUCCUCUUUAAUGUUUGCAUAUGCCCUACUGCAGGAUGAUAACAGGUACAGGAAGGGGUGCCCAUUUGAAUCUCAAGCAUGCAGAGAAAGCAGGGGUGCUUGUUCAAAAGAUUCCAACUAUGAUUGACAACUUGAUAGACAAGACAUUUGCCUGGGAGGAUGAAAGCAAUACACCAUUUCUUUAUGACGUGGUUCACAUGGUUGCCAUUUUGGAAGAGCAAAAACUCGGGAGAGUACAGAAAGAGGAAGAUAAGCGACGAUACCGGAUAUAAAUUCCACAUCCUCUGGCACUACACUCACAACAGAAGUCAUCAGUCUUGUUCACUGACUCUUAACAGAGGACCAGAAGAACAUGUACAAUCUAUUGCGUAAAGAGAAUGAGAUGAUAUUUGGGUCCAAGUCUGUUCCGAGGAAGAUAAGCAGUUUUAAUAGGAGGACACCCAAAUGGGAGCGAGGCUGGUUUCAUGACUCCGAUGCCCACACCCAAGCUUUUGACACCACGCUCGUACUCUGGACGGUACAACAAUUACUUCAAGGAGAACCGGCGGAUGACGGCGGCACCACUCAACUUCUCGGCGGCUUCCAAGGAUGACAUGUUAUCCUUUGCCUCCAUGAGCGGAUCGGAGCCUGAUUCUCCAUUAGUUUUGCACUGAGCAUAAGACAGCGGUGGGGUGGCAGGCCGCACCUGUGCCCAUGUUGUCACUGACAAUCCACUUGGUCGUCGCCGACUGGGGUUGCCGUGCGGGAACUACGUGUUGACCACGGCGUGCCCGUAUGAUGCUCUACUUUUGAAACCUGCUAUCAGUUCCUUUUGAUUUACUAUUGUCUUUUGUUAUCACUGAUCUUAGUGUCCAUACUGUCACUGUUAGUAUCUAUGUUGUCACUGUUUAUACUGCUCCAGUCAGGAACUUGCACCUGUGACUAUUUUCAUAUUACUAUCUUGUUGCUCUCAUGCAAAUACGAUGUGCAACACUAACAAAGC